This 340-nucleotide unclassified non-coding RNA is filed under the name uncultured bacterium. RNAcentral's name for it is "contains 16S-23S intergenic spacer region". The record is from RNAcentral.
UCGAGGCCCCACAUCCCUUGCGCGUAACCCGCGACCUCUGAGCCCAUCAGUACGAGCCGCGUGUCUCGACCGAGGUCCGUCGACGGAACGUGCCAGAUCCAGGUCAGGUACUCCCGGAUCGGAUCGGGAUCCAACCCAAGGGCCAAAUCGGAGUCCUCCAUGAGGCGAACGACGACGUCCAGAUCGGCGUCCGUCACUGGGCGCACGGUGAAGCCUCCGGGAAGGGAACGAACGUCCGUCAUAGGCAGCCGCGAGCAUAGUCCGCCCCCAGGCUCGGUCCGGUGACACGAGCCUCUGCGGUCACAGAAGCACUGACUAUGCCCUGAGGAGCAGCUCGGCA